AAAGGAAUAGACGGGGGCCCGCACAAGCAGAGGAGCAUGUGGCUUAAUUCGAUGCAACGCGAAGAACCUUACCCGGGCUUGACAUGCGGCUGCACGGCUCAUGAAAGUGAGCCCCCUUCGAGGGUGCCGCACAGGUGCUGCAUGGCUGUCGUCAGUUCGUGCCGUGAGGUGUUUGGUUAAGUCCAGCAACGAACGCAACCCCUGUGCCGUGUUGCCAUCGCGUAAUGGCGGGGACUCGCGGCAGACUGCCCGUUCACGCGGGAGGAAGGUGGGGACGACGUCAAGUCAGUAUGGCCCUUACGCCCGGGGCCGCACACGUGCUACAAUGGCGGGCACAGAGGGAAGCGAGGCCGCGAGGCGGAGCCAACCCCCAAAACCCGCCCCAGUUCGGAUCGGUGUCUGCAACCCGACACCGUGAAGCCGGAUUUGCUAGUAACGGCGCAUCAGCCACGGCGCCGUGAAUACGUUCCCGGGCCUUGUACACACCGCCCGU
RNAcentral lists this ribosomal RNA (493 nucleotides) under uncultured bacterium. RNAcentral's name for it is "bacterial SSU rRNA". It matches the Rfam family "Bacterial small subunit ribosomal RNA", at positions 903 to 1397 of the family's 1533-position model. The record is from RNAcentral.